This 940-nucleotide non-coding RNA is filed under the name Acanthodactylus guineensis (Guinea fringe-fingered lizard). Its description in RNAcentral is "12S ribosomal RNA". It matches the Rfam family "Bacterial small subunit ribosomal RNA". The record is from RNAcentral. Lineage: Eukaryota; Metazoa; Chordata; Lepidosauria; Squamata; Lacertidae.
AAAGUUUUAGUCCUGGACUUACCGUUGUUUUUUUUCAAGAUUAUACAUGCAAGCCUCAACAUACCAGUGAAAACGCCCACACCCCCCUAAAAAGAAAGAUUGGAGCAGAUAUCAGGCACAAUCAUUUAGCCCAUAACAUCUAGUUUAACCACUCCCCCACGGGCUUACAGCAGUAAUAAACCUUGGGCAAUAAGUGAAAACUUGACCCAACUAUGAAAACAAGGGUUGGUCAAUUUCGUGCCAGCCACCGCGGUUACACGAAAAACCCGAAUCAACGAUCCAACGGCGUAAAUUGUGACUAGAUAUUAUAUAAAAAUAUUAAAACUAUUAUCCUAGUUGUAAAACACUUAGGACUAAGGGAAAAACAAACAAAUAUUUUAUCAUAUUUGAUCACACGAAAACUUAGAAACAAACUAGGAUUAGAUACCCUACUAUGCUAAGCCUUAAACUUUGAUAGUAACUAUACAUAACUAUCCGCCAGAGAAUUACAAGUGAAAACUUAAAACUCAAAGGACUUGGCGGUGUCCCACAUCGACCUAGAGGAGCCUGUCCUAUAAUCGAUACCCCUCGUUCCACCCAACCUCCACUAGCACAUUCAGCCUGUAUACCGCCGUCGACAGUUUACCCCAUGAGGGUAAAACAGUAAAUAAAAUAGUAAUAACACUAACACGUCAGGUCAAGGUGUAGCAAAUGUUGAGGAAGUGAUUGGCUACAUUUUCAAAAAUUUGAAAAAACGAAAUGCAACAUGAAAUCAUGCAAGAAGGUGAAUUUAGUAGUAAAAUAGAUAAGAGUAUCUAUUUAAACAUCGCUCUGGGACGCGCACACACCGCCCGUCACCCUCCUCAAAACUACUAACUCAAUAUUAUAUAAACCCAUACUUCGUCUCAGAGGAGGUAAGUCGUAACAUGGUAAGCGUACUGGAAAGUGUGCUUGGACUAAA